AUGGUUCGCCUGCGGGCGAUGAAAAGGGAACGGGGUGCAAGUCCCCGACAGUCCCGCUGCUGUGAUUUGCCUUUGUGGGAACGCGCAAGGAUGCCACUGUCUUUUUUUAGUUGACGAGUAAACAAGUUGACAAGUAGACGAGUUGUUACUUCGUUGGCAAGAUGGGAAGGCGCGCGUUUCAGGCAAUAAGUCAGAAGACCUGCCAUUGCGGA
RNAcentral lists this non-coding RNA (212 nucleotides) under uncultured Prevotella sp. Lineage: Bacteria; Pseudomonadati; Bacteroidota; Bacteroidia; Bacteroidales; Prevotellaceae. The record is from RNAcentral.